GCCCGUUUGCAAAAUGACUGGUUUUAUUCAAAUAAACAAAAACUCCAUAUAAUGAGUUAAUCAAUGGAUUUGUGAUUCUCAUUGCUUCUCAAAACUUGAUCUGGAAGCCAUGGCAAGACCAGCUGAUAACAUUAUUCAUACAAGGAUACAUAGCUGUACUUCUCCUCUAACAAGCAAUAUCUAUUAGCAUAUUAAAAGACAAAAUAAAAAUAAAAUUACAUGGAUCACAUUCUCUAUAUAAAAAAACUUUGUUAAAAAUCCAAGCCAAGAACUGCACGUGGACAAAAUUUGCAUUCCAUAUAUACAAUCCCUCUAAGCCAACUAAUUAAAUAAUGCCAACUUACAUGUCUACAUCAAGAUUGCAUAGCGCAUGCUGUCAUUUACCAUGAGGUGAUUCAUCUCUGAUAGUUGAGCAAACUCACCAGUCACCCAAAGACCAUCAGCGCCAUUGACAUGAGGUUGUGAGGAGCAAGAAAGAAUUGAAAAUGGUGCAAGAACAAUUCUGAAUAGAGCAGAAAGACUAUUCCACCUUUGUGCUCUGUUCAUAUCACGCACAAGGAUUGGAAACUCGGCUCCAUUCAUGCCUCCAAACAUGCUCUCAUCGGCUACUCGUGGGCUUUUCCUAAUAUUUUGCACGUUCCUCCUCAAUCUGGCCAGCUUGUGCCACAUCUUAAUUAUCGGUAGUUUUGAUGCUAAGAAUCCUUGAAGAUAUGGUGUUUAGAUGUUUAUGAGAAACAAAUUUUUGUGAAGAGAACGAUUGCAAGGCCAGCUUUUAAGGCUGCUUUUUCGAUAAUGGCAGUUUGGUGGUGGUGGUGGUGUUAGUGCUAGUGUUUGUCACAAAGGGUAGGAGUGCCUUUCAAGGCCCUUUCACUUGUGUUAUUUUUUCCUAUUUUUGGGGGGGUCUAGCUAGGCCAACAUGCCGACAGAGUUGCCUAAUUAUUUACAAAAUAUUUUCAUUUAUAU
RNAcentral lists this long non-coding RNA (963 nucleotides) under Populus trichocarpa (black cottonwood). RNAcentral describes it as "long non-coding RNA (PTRI_LNC000747)". The record is from RNAcentral. Lineage: Eukaryota; Viridiplantae; Streptophyta; Magnoliopsida; Malpighiales; Salicaceae.